CUGAAAUUUCAUUAUUGUUAUUAUCGCUUCCCAAACUCGGAAAACGAAACACAAUGUCGUCAUCGCGAAUUGGAUACCACCACUAUUAUGAUGGUAAUCAGUGUUGCCAUAAAUUCAUCUGUACUGGAAAGGGUUUAAAAUAUUUUUAGUUGUACUUUUUCCUUCAAACAUCUGACGUUGCUGAGCCGAUUUAGUAGCUUUGAUUUGUUGUUGUUAUAAUCAGAAAAAUCGCUUGACGAUUGCCGAGAAGUAAGAUAUAGUAAGAAUGUUAGAAACAAGGUGUCGAAGCGACGGAUAUGCGAACGAACCAUAAAUGAUAUGAUUGACUUACGAACUAAUUUCCUUUUUAGGGCACGUUAUUUGUUUUCCAACUCUUGCAAAUUCUCAUCGUAGAAACCUAUAAACUCUUCUAAUACUACUUUGAUGCUUAUUGGAAGUUUCUAGAGUUUAACAUCGCAGCAGCAUUAAGUAUCGAAUUAUUGAAAUCGAAUCUUUUUCUUAUUCGCUCAACCAACCCCACCUGCCAUAAAUAUAGAAAAAAUCUGUACCAAUCAAUAGUUUAGGACAAAAAAUGUGUAAUCUGUACCGUACAGAAUGUAUUCAGAAAAAAAUCAAAAAUCUGUAGCUGUAGAUUUAUCGGGAGAUAAAUCAGUACUUGUGGCAACACUGGUGGUAACGUCAAACGCAGAUUAUCUUUCAUCGACGUUCCUCCUGAAUAAAUUCGACCGAUUUCCUACCGUUGAGCAUUGUGCGAAUUUAAUAUAAAUUAUUAAACUAAUCCGAACGUUUUACAAAUAUAGCGACAUCCGGGGAAAAGGAAAGGUUCAGGGAUAUCUUAAAACAAGUGUGUACAGUGUUUGGGAAUGGAUUUGUGGUUUGCUCGAUUGAUGCAUCGUUGAAUUGCAAAUAUCGGCAGGCGCAGCAAAGUAAAGUACCUUCGAAGAAGCGGAAAAUUACUAAGAAACUGGUGGUGAACGCAAGAAGUGAUAAUGAGAACUAUCGGAACUCUGGAAAUUACGGAAAGACAGAAUUCAGAAUAAGUCUGGAUCAGUGCUUCGCAGUUACCUGUGACAACGGAAGGAACAUGAUUGCAGCCGUUAAUCAGUUGCAAUCAUAUCUGCAAACGAUGUCCUUUCCGAUCGAUGAUGCAGAAGACGAAAAUUCCAAGGUUCCGUUUCAUGUCCGUUUUUUGAGCUCCAUAAACAACCACUGUCUCCUCUUUACUUGAAAGCACGUUGGGGCGGUGUCUUUCAGAUAAUAGAGUUCUACAGCAAGCACGAAAUCUUGCAGAACAAUGAGAAUCUCCGAAUACGUGGCAUACGCCCGUGAGUAAUCGGUCCCUCAUUCCUUUAACCAUAGAAAAAGUGAUAAUGUAAAUAAUAAAUUAUAAAUAAGAAUUUUAUGAAUGCUUUUUAAGUGAAAAUGUGAAUAAACAAUAAAAUUAAGAAUUUG
This is a long non-coding RNA of Toxorhynchites rutilus septentrionalis, 1452 nucleotides long. RefSeq lists it as uncharacterized. Lineage: Eukaryota; Metazoa; Arthropoda; Insecta; Diptera; Culicidae. The record is from RefSeq and is a predicted model, not a curated record. The transcript is spliced from 3 exons.